Molecule: ribosomal RNA, 254 nt
Filed under: uncultured prokaryote
Description: partial 16S ribosomal RNA
Rfam family: Bacterial small subunit ribosomal RNA
Source: RNAcentral
AUACGAACUGUGCGAACGUUAUUCGGAAUCACUGGGCUUACAGGGUGCGUAGGCGGCUUAGCAAGUCAGGUGUGAAAGCCCCCGGCUCAACCGGGGAACUGCGCUUGAAACUGCUGAGCUCGAGUCAGCUAGAGGUACACGGAACUUCCAGUGGAGCGGUGAAAUGUGUUGAUAUUGGAAGGGACACCGGAGGCGAAAGCGGUGUACUGGGGCUGGUCUGACGCUGAGGCACGAAAGCCAGGGGAGCGAACGGG